CGGGGCGUAGCGCAGCCUGGUAGCGCACUUGCAUGGGGUGCAAGGGGUCGAAGGUUCAAAUCCUUCCGUUCCGA
Alcaligenes sp. EGD-AK7 is the source of this 74-nucleotide transfer RNA. It matches the Rfam family "tRNA". Rfam says of the family: Transfer RNA (tRNA) molecules are approximately 80 nucleotides in length. Their secondary structure includes four short double-helical elements and three loops (D, anti-codon, and T loops). NCBI's taxonomy places the organism in Bacteria, Pseudomonadati, Pseudomonadota, Betaproteobacteria, Burkholderiales, Alcaligenaceae. The record is from Rfam.